RNAcentral lists this ribosomal RNA (401 nucleotides) under uncultured soil bacterium. RNAcentral describes it as "bacterial SSU rRNA". It matches the Rfam family "Bacterial small subunit ribosomal RNA", at positions 26 to 431 of the family's 1533-position model. The record is from RNAcentral.
AGAUUGAACGCUGGCGGCAGGCCUAACACAUGCAAGUCGAGCGGUAGAGAGGUGCUUGCAUCUCUUGAGAGCGGCGGACGGGUGAGUAAUGCCUAGGAAUCUGCCUAGUGGUGGGGGAUAACGUUCGGAAACGGACGCUAAUACCGCAUACGUCCUACGGGAGAAAGCGGGGGACCUUCGGGCCUCGCGCCAUUAGAUGAGCCUAGGUCAGAUUAGCUAGUUGGUGAGGUAAAGGCUCACCAAGGCGACGAUCUGUAGCUGGUUUGAGAGGACGACCAGCCACACUGGGACUGAGACACGGCCCAGACUCCUACGGGAGGCAGCAGUGGGGGAAUUUGGACAAUGGGGGAAACCCUGAUCCAGCCAUCCCGCGUGUGCGAUGAAGGCCUUCGGUGUAAGAC